This 74-nucleotide transfer RNA is filed under the name Phaeophyceae sp. RNAcentral describes it as "tRNA-His". It matches the Rfam family "tRNA". From Rfam's summary of the family: Transfer RNA (tRNA) molecules are approximately 80 nucleotides in length. Their secondary structure includes four short double-helical elements and three loops (D, anti-codon, and T loops). The record is from RNAcentral. Lineage: Eukaryota; Phaeophyceae.
GCGAGCGUAACUCAGUUGGUUAGAGUGCCAGGUUGUGGCUCUGGAAGCCGGGGGUUCAAGUCCCCUUGCCCGCC